This 301-nucleotide ribosomal RNA is filed under the name uncultured bacterium. Its description in RNAcentral is "partial 16S ribosomal RNA". It matches the Rfam family "Bacterial small subunit ribosomal RNA", at positions 509 to 809 of the family's 1533-position model. The record is from RNAcentral.
CAGCCGCCACGGGAAUACGUAGGUGGUAAGCGUUGUCCGGAAUUAUUGGGCGUAAAGCGCGCGCAGGCGGAUCAGUUAGUCUGUCUUAAAAGUUCGGGGCUUAACCCCGUGAUGGGAUGGAAACUGCUGAUCUAGAGUAUCGGAGAGGAAAGUGGAAUUCCUAGUGUAGCGGUGAAAUGCGUAGAUAUUAGGAAGAACACCAGUGGCGAAGGCGACUUUCUGGACGAAAACUGACGCUGAGGCGCGAAAGCCAGGGGAGCGAACGGGAUUAGAGACCCCGGUAGUCCCUGUCUCUUAUACA